RNAcentral lists this ribosomal RNA (253 nucleotides) under uncultured bacterium. Its description in RNAcentral is "partial 16S ribosomal RNA". It matches the Rfam family "Bacterial small subunit ribosomal RNA", at positions 524 to 776 of the family's 1533-position model. The record is from RNAcentral.
UACGUAGGGUGCGAGCGUUGUCCGGAAUUAUUGGGCGUAAAGAGCUCGUAGGCGGUCUGUCGCGUCUGCUGUGAAAAUCCAGGGCUCAACCCUGGACCUGCAGUGGGUACGGGCAGACUAGAGUGCGGUAGGGGAGAUCGGAAUUCCUGGUGUAGCGGUGAAAUGCGUAGAUAUCAAGAGGAACACCUGAGGUGAAGACGGGUUGCUGGGCCAACACUGACGCUGAUGCGCGAAAGCCAGGGGAGCAAACGGG